GGAAGGAUCUAAUCCUAAUUUUUGACACCAACUAACCUCUUUCCUUUAUCUUGUUGCAUGCCAUUUUUGAAGAAUUUUAAUGGGAUUAAAAUACCUAAAUGGUGUGGAGAUAAAGUGGAUAAGGUUUGGCGCAUGGUUGUUAGUGCAUGACAUUUUAUCUUGGCAUGCAGAAUGGUUAAGAGUCCUUCUGCAUGUUAAUCAUCUUUUUGGGAUAAAGAUUAGAGGGCCA
Molecule: long non-coding RNA, 229 nt
Filed under: Elaeis guineensis (African oil palm)
Lineage: Eukaryota; Viridiplantae; Streptophyta; Magnoliopsida; Arecales; Arecaceae
Description: long non-coding RNA (EGUI_LNC049158)
Source: RNAcentral